Molecule: ribosomal RNA, 215 nt
Filed under: uncultured eukaryote
Lineage: Eukaryota
Description: partial 18S ribosomal RNA
Source: RNAcentral
UCGUGGAGUGAUCUGUCUGCUUAAUUGCGUAUCAUAAAAAGAGACCUAGUAUACGCGUAAGAUAUCGUUUACGGUUCGUGACCCCCUUCGGGCGUGUGUCGCACGUACGUAUCAUACGCACUGGUCUCCGAUAGCAACGAACGUGACCGUACUCUAUUGUUGCAGCGAAUGUAUGCAUCUUCGGGUGUAUCUACCGCUGCUUAGCAUAUUUCAUG